CUCAGACAGAUUGACGCAGCAGUAGGUGGCUUACACCGCCAGUUCAUGUGAAAACGGACAGAUUUGCUUUGUUGCCCGCACUGCGUGCACACACUACAGGCCUGGGUGCAACAGAAGUAAUUAAAGGGGGUGUCGUACAAUAGGUCAUGUCCGGGCUAGCUCUCCUCGACCUCUUUCACUGCAUGGUGCCCCGCUGGCUGCGGGGUUCAGAAGAAGGGCAAUCUAUGAUGGCUGCAGUCUUGGAGGUAUUGCUGAGGCUGACGGCAGGCCAGAGGGAGGCCUGAAGGAUGGAAACCAUUAUGGGUGUUUUUGCCCCUUUAGGCCUGGGUCAUAGGGGGCCAACAGAGAACCGGUCUACAUAAAUACAGAUGACCUGACAGGAAAACGUGAUUGUAACCUCUUUCACCCCUCUGAGACCUUGGAUCAAUUUGUAAACUGAGUGCCUUUUCAGUGUAAUAGAAGUCAAUUAAAACAGUAAUAUAUAGAAAGACAAGUGCACAUGCACUUAUACAUACUGGAACACACACACUCUUGUCAACUUUUCUGAGAAGACAUCAUAUUAACAUUUUCAUCAACAUGCCAGCCAGACUCAUGUCUGUGCUCAUGCCCAUGUUUAGCUUUAUAGCUUUGGCUGCACUUCAGGAUAAUACCCUUUAACACCAGUGUGGGGACAUGGGGUAGGGCCAGGGGGAUGUGUGGAGCUGGAGAGGAAGUGGAUGCCAGUGUGGUGGCCUGUGGUCGGGUGCCAGUCAGGCCAUCAUCGGGUGAAGGCCAUCCCCGCGAGAGAAGAUAUCACCAUAGCCUGGUUGGCUGACAGCUUCAGGGCCCUUAUUGAAAAAUCAAUGUCCAUUUGUGCGUCCAGCUCACCUGGCCGUCUGCCAGCUCGGCUGAAGUCACCUAAUGAAGCCUGAUCCCGUUACCUGAUUCCCGAUUCACUGAGUCAAAGUGACUUUGCAGCUGAAGUCAUCCACCCAUCAGGGACCUUGGGGGCAAGUUCAACAUAUACCAUGCAGCAUGUUGUUGUUUCAUUUUGCAUUCUGCUGUUUUCAGUGUCUGGUCACAUCCUAACAUGCUGCUCUGCUGCUCUCUGCGUUUGUAUGAAGUCAUGGUGAAAGUUGC
Micropterus dolomieu (smallmouth bass) is the source of this 1119-nucleotide long non-coding RNA. RefSeq lists it as uncharacterized. NCBI's taxonomy places the organism in Eukaryota, Metazoa, Chordata, Actinopteri, Centrarchiformes, Centrarchidae. The record is from RefSeq and is a predicted model, not a curated record. The transcript is spliced from 3 exons.